GACAUCCCUUCUUCUUCUUCUUUUAAUUCUCAUGCAGACUUUAUGAAUAUAACGCACUUUGAGGUUGGUGGAGCACUGUGGCCAAAUGUGUUUGUAAACAAAGUGCGAUCCGCAAAAAUAAUCCAUCUUGGGAUGGUCUCAACACAGUACUGAGACAACCAGCUUUAUGAACUCUACAAAAAUUUGAAUGCACAACUGCACAAAUUUGGGCUAAAUAUUGAAAAACACUACAAGGGUUUCAGCCUGUUUGACAUUUUGAGGUAAACUGUUCCUAAGAUGCACAGUGGCGUUCUUGAAGGAGCUGGAACCAUAGCAAGUGCUACAGAUACAUGGGGCUGAUAUAUAUUUGGCAAAGUAUUUAAAAAAAACUACAAGGGGUAAGUCAAGCAUUUUUUACGUUUUAUUUGUUCUAUUGACAAAACUACAAACUACAGCAUUUUCAUAAAGUUCCCUUCAGCAUUUAAAAAAUAAAUUUGCCAAAUAUUGAAGAAAAACUACGAGGGCAUAAGCCUACAGUUCAGUAUUCUUGUGCUGAUAUACUGAUUCUUGACAAAUGUACAAGGCUAUCCUUGUACAAUUAUCAAAUUUUGCUUGAAAAUGUACAGCCUUGUACAUUUAUCAAAUUUUGCUGAAAGAUGUACAAAGUUAAAGUCUUGUUAUCCAAUUUUGCAGAAAAAUGUACAAAAAUUGAUAAAUGCACAAGGCUGUAUAUAGCCUAGUGCAUUUAUCAAAUU
Long non-coding RNA from Asterias rubens (European starfish), 734 nucleotides. RefSeq lists it as uncharacterized. The record is from RefSeq and is a predicted model, not a curated record. Lineage: Eukaryota; Metazoa; Echinodermata; Asteroidea; Forcipulatida; Asteriidae. The transcript has 3 exons.